GACAGAGGGGGCAAGCGUUGCUCGGAAUCACUGGGCGUAAAGGGCGCGUAGGCGGGAUGGCAAGUCGGUCGUGAAAUCCCUCGGCUCAACCGAGGAGCGUCGGCCGAUACUGCCGUUCUUGAGGGAUGCAGAGGAGACUGGAAUUCCCGGUGUAGCGGUGAAAUGUGUAGAGAUCGGGAGGAACACCGGUGGCGAAGGCGGGUCUCUGGGCAUCUCCUGACGCUGAGGCGCUAAGGCCAGGGGAGCAAACGGG
Molecule: ribosomal RNA, 253 nt
Filed under: uncultured bacterium
Lineage: Bacteria
Description: partial 16S ribosomal RNA
Rfam family: Bacterial small subunit ribosomal RNA
Source: RNAcentral